CCCUUAGAUGUUCUGGGCCGCACGCGCGCUACACUGAUGAAUACAACGAGCUCUACCCUUGACCGAAAGGCCCGGGUAAACUUGUGAAACUUCAUCGUGAUGGGGAUAGAUUAUUGCAAUUAUUAAUCUUCAACGAGGAAUUCCUAGUAAGCGCGAGUCAUCAGCUCGCGUUGAUUACGUCCCUGCCCUUUGUACACACCGCCUGUCGCUCCUACCGAUUGAAUGGUCCGGUGAAAUCUUCGGAUUGCUGACCAAGAUCCAGCAAUGGAGCUUGGUUGCGAGAAGUUGAUUAAACCUUAUUAUUUAGAGGAAGGAGAAGUCGUAACA
Molecule: ribosomal RNA, 327 nt
Filed under: uncultured eukaryote
Lineage: Eukaryota
Description: partial 18S ribosomal RNA
Rfam family: Eukaryotic small subunit ribosomal RNA
Source: RNAcentral